GACGAACGCUGGCGGCGUGCCUAACACAUGCAAGUCGAACGAAACGUCCGGGUUUUUGGGCGUCCGGGGGUGGAACGGGAGGGGAGAAGCACGUAGGUACCGACUAACUACAAGAAAGGGGUGCUCAUGCCAGAGAGGAUCUUAUGACGAAAGAUCUAUUGCCGUGGGUUGGGCGCGAGUGGGAUUAGGUAGUUGGUAGGGUUAAAGAGGACUGAGGCGGCGAUCCUGCGCUGGGCUGCGAGGAUGAUCAGCAACACUAGGACUGAGACACGGCCCGGACUCCUACGGCAUGCGGCAGAAGAGAGUAUUGGACAAUGGGCGAAAGACUGAUCCAGCAACGCCGCGUAAGUGAUGAAGGCCUUAGGGUUGUAAAGCUCUAUUACCCGAGAUGAUAAUGGCAGUACCGGGAGAAUAAGCGCCGGCUAACUCCGUG
RNAcentral lists this ribosomal RNA (433 nucleotides) under uncultured bacterium. RNAcentral describes it as "partial 16S ribosomal RNA". It matches the Rfam family "Bacterial small subunit ribosomal RNA", at positions 28 to 507 of the family's 1533-position model. The record is from RNAcentral.